Molecule: long non-coding RNA, 489 nt
Organism: Passer domesticus (house sparrow)
Lineage: Eukaryota; Metazoa; Chordata; Aves; Passeriformes; Passeridae
Exons: 3
Source: RefSeq, a predicted model, not a curated record
UUAAAAAGAGAGGAAAAGGGUUCUCUUGUUCAUUCUAAAAUCUCUUCUGUUUGCCAGAGACUUCAGAAAAUUCAGUUUGUCUUCAAUGUCUGUAGGAUGUCACCAAUGAAGGACAAGCACAGACAGCUUUACUGUUGGGCUUUCUUCACCAUCUUGGAUAUUUUCCUGUGCAGAUGCAAUUAUCCCUCACUGGCAAUUUUUGUGGACUUAGUAAUACAGAGACUGGGAGUCAGAGCAUGAAUUGCUAACAGCACAUAUUUAAUUGGCGGCUUGGCCUGGAUUUUAAUGUGUCUAGAUCUUGGUAUCACCUUGCUAAGGGCUCAGCAUCUCUCACAUUUCCAUCUCCUGCUGUGUGCUCCUGGCACAGUGAGAACAGAUAUUUUUCUUCUGCCCCUGCACUGAUGGACUGGCAAGGACAUGCAUCCCUUAUUCCAAGACUCCAUCCUGAACUCUCCUGCAGGAUUACAGCAGAUCCUGACCCUGUUGACC